AAUUUGGAGAGUUUGAUCCUGGCUCAGAACGAACGCUGGCGGCGUGCCUAACACAUGCAAGUCGAGCGAGAAAGUCCCGGCAACGGGAUGAGUAAAGCGGCGAACGGGUGAGUAACGCGUAGGUAAUCUGUCCUUCGGAUCGGGAUAACCUGCUGAAAAGUGGGCUAAUACCGGGUAAUGUUCUUAUGGGGAUCCCGUGAGAACCAAAGGGGGCGAGCGUAAGCA
RNAcentral lists this ribosomal RNA (225 nucleotides) under Candidatus Methylomirabilota bacterium. RNAcentral describes it as "partial 16S ribosomal RNA". It matches the Rfam family "Bacterial small subunit ribosomal RNA", at positions 1 to 213 of the family's 1533-position model. The record is from RNAcentral. Lineage: Bacteria; Methylomirabilota (SeqCode).